This 468-nucleotide ribosomal RNA is filed under the name uncultured bacterium. RNAcentral describes it as "partial 16S ribosomal RNA". It matches the Rfam family "Bacterial small subunit ribosomal RNA", at positions 28 to 507 of the family's 1533-position model. The record is from RNAcentral.
GACGAACGCUGGCGGCGUGCUUAACACAUGCAAGUCGAACGGAAAGGCCCUGCUUUUGUGGGGUGCUCGAGUGGCGAACGGGUGAGUAACACGUGAGUAACCUGCCCUUGACUUUGGGAUAACUUCAGGAAACUGGGGCUAAUACCGGAUAGGAGCUCCUGCUGCAUGGUGGGGGUUGGAAAGUUUCGGCGGUUGGGGAUGGACUCGCGGCUUAUCAGCUUGUUGGUGGGGUAGUGGCUUACCAAGGCUUUGACGGGUAGCCGGCCUGAGAGGGUGACCGGCCACAUUGGGACUGAGAUACGGACCAGACGCCUACGGGAGGCAGCAGUGGGGAAUAUUGCACAAUGGGCGGAAGCCUGAUGCAGCAACGCCGCGUGCGUGAUGACGGCCUUCGGGUUGUAAACCGCUUUCGCCUGUGACGAAGCGUGAGUGACGGUAAUGGGUAAAGAAGCACCGGCUAACUACGUG